Molecule: ribosomal RNA, 490 nt
Filed under: Streptomyces praecox
Lineage: Bacteria; Bacillati; Actinomycetota; Actinomycetes; Kitasatosporales; Streptomycetaceae
Description: bacterial SSU rRNA
Rfam family: Bacterial small subunit ribosomal RNA
Source: RNAcentral
GACGGCCUUCGGGUUGUAAACCUCGGGCAGCAGGGAAGAAGCGCAAGUGACGGUACCUGCAGAAGAAGCGCCGGCUAACUACGUGCCAGCAGCCGCGGUAAUACGUAGGCCCCAAGCGUUGUCCGGAAUUAUUGGGCGUAAAGAGCUCGUAGGCGGCUUGUCACGUCGGAUGUGAAAGCCCGGGGCUUAAGGGGGGGUCUGCAUUCGAUACGGGCUAGCUAGAGUGUGGUAGCCCAGAUCGGAAUUCCUGGUGUAGCGGUGAAAUGCGCAGAUAUCAGGAGGAACACCGGUGGCGUUGGCGGAUCUCUGGGCCAUUACUGACGCUGAGGAGCGAAAGCGUGGGGAGCGAACAGGAUUAGAUACCCUGGUAGUCCACGCCGUAAACGUUGGGAACUAGGUGUUGGCGACAUUCCACGUCGUCGGUGCCGCAGCUAACGCAUUAAGUUGGGGGCCUGGGGAGUACGGCCGCAAGGCUAAAACUCAAAGGAAU